Molecule: long non-coding RNA, 805 nt
Organism: Ruditapes philippinarum (Manila clam)
Lineage: Eukaryota; Metazoa; Mollusca; Bivalvia; Venerida; Veneridae
Exons: 3
Source: RefSeq, a predicted model, not a curated record
CCGUCGGUCGUCAUCAUGGUUUCCGGACGAUAACUAGAGUUUGGAAUGAGGUAUUGUAAUCAAACUUGGUAUAUAGCAACCUUAUGUGGAAACUCCGGUUGGUAUUGCAUUUGGACCCCCUGGGGUCAAGGUCACCGUUACUAAAAAUAGAAAAAUGGUUUCCAGACAAUAACUUGAGUUAGGAAUGAGAUAUUGUAAUCAAACUUGGUGUAUAGCAAGCUUAUAUGAAGACCUGGGUUGGUAUUGUAUUUGGACCCCCUGGGGUCAAGGUCAAGGUCACCGUUACUAAAAAUAGAAAAAUGGUUUCCGGACAAUAACAGGAGUUAGGAAUGAGAUAUUGUUAUCAAACUUGGUGUAUAGCAAGCUUAUAUGAAGACCUGGGUUGGUAUUGCAUUUGGACCCCCUGGGGUCAAGGUCACCAUUACUAAAAAUAGAAAAAUGGUUUCCGGACAAUAACUAGAGUUAGGAAUGAGAUAUUGUUAUCAAACUUGGUGUAUAGCAAGCUUAUAUGAAGACUUUGGUUGGUAUUGCAUUGGUACCCCCUGGGGUUCAGGUCAAGGUCACCAUUCCUAAAAAUAGAAAAAUGGUUUCCGGACAAUAACUAGAGUUAGGAAUGAGAUAUUGUAAUCAAACUUUGUGAAAAGCAAGCUUAUUUGGAGACCCCAGUUGGGAUUACAAUUAAUUGAAAUAUUUUUUUGUACACAGUUGAUAGUUUGUGUUGAAAUUUUUCUUCAGGCUACUUUUUUUUCAAAAAGUUGCUGGUGGGGGUAUUAAUCACCUUCAGUGAUAGGUCUAGUUUUGGUUU